AUGAAGACAUACUUUCAGCAACAAAUUUUUUUCUCGGAUUCCAGCUUGCUUGGAGGUGGAGGUUUUGGCAAAGUUUACAAGGGCACACUGGAAGGUGGAAAUGAAGUUGCUGUCAAGAGGCUUAGUAAGAGUUCUGGACAAGGUAUGGUGGAGUUCAAAAAUGAAGUAGUUCUCAUUGCAAAACUGCAGCAUAAGAACCUAGUCAGACUUCUCGGCUGCUGCAUUCAUGAAGAUGAGAAGUUAUUGAUCUACGAGUACUUAGCUAAUAAAAGUUUGGAUGCCUUUAUUUUUGAUUUUGGUAUGGCAAGAAUCUUUGGUGCAAACCAGAAUCAUGCUAACACAACCCGGGUCGUCGGAACAUAUGUGUUUUGUACAUUCCUUGCUAACUUGUUGAAUGUUUUAAAUAAUGGUUAUAUGUCCCCUGAAUAUGCAAUGGGAGGUGCAUUUUCUAUGAAAUCAGACACUUAUAGCUUUGGGGUUCUUCUCUUGGAGAUUGUUAGUGGCAUGAAGAUUAGCUCACCUCAGCUCAACAUGGAAUUUUGUAGCCUUAUAUCUUAUGCCUGGAGAUUAUGGGAAGAUGAAAAAUAUACCGAACUGGUGGACUCCUUCAUUGUUGCGAGCUGCCCACUUCAUGAGGUUGCACAGUGCAUUCAUGUGGGACUCUUGUGUGUCCAAGACCAUCCAAAUGAUAGACCACUAAUGUCCUCAGUUAUGUUUAUGUUGGAGAAUGAAAGUGCAGUGCUUGCACCUCCAAAGCAUCCUGUAUACUUUGCUCUAGGUAAUUAUGAAGGUGAAGAAGCCAGGGAGAAAAUGAGUUCCACAAAUGACAUGAGUAUGACAACGCUCAAGGGUUGUUAG
This 858-nucleotide ribosomal RNA is filed under the name Triticum aestivum (bread wheat). Its description in RNAcentral is "partial small subunit ribosomal RNA". The record is from RNAcentral. Lineage: Eukaryota; Viridiplantae; Streptophyta; Magnoliopsida; Poales; Poaceae.